This 348-nucleotide long non-coding RNA is filed under the name Bos taurus (domestic cattle). RNAcentral's name for it is "long non-coding RNA NONBTAT007175". Lineage: Eukaryota; Metazoa; Chordata; Mammalia; Artiodactyla; Bovidae. The record is from RNAcentral.
UAGAGAAGAUGUAGUUACGGGCAGGAACCACCUGAUUAGGGAUGAAGAAUUCUGAGUGGUUUAAUUUUAAUACUGUCAGAAAGGUUAAUAUUUAAUUACAAAUUAUAAUCUCCUUAUCCAAGCUGUCUUAAUAUGUCUUCAUAAACAGUGGAAGUAGAAGGAAAGUAUCUGCUGACUUGCUGGUGUAGAAAGGAGAAAGGGCUUGAUAAAAGAUGGACGAUGCAAGUCUUUUUUCAGUUGGAGCAUCUAAACGAGAGGCAGAUUUCAACUUGUGAAGGGUGUCCUGAAAGCUGACGAUGGCAUCCUUCAGUGCAUGCUUCACCCAGGAGACGGAAGUGCCUACCACCC